Molecule: ribosomal RNA, 253 nt
Filed under: uncultured bacterium
Lineage: Bacteria
Description: partial 16S ribosomal RNA
Rfam family: Bacterial small subunit ribosomal RNA
Source: RNAcentral
UACGUAGGGUGCAAGCGUUAAUCGGAAUUACUGGGCGUAAAGCGUACGCAGGCGGCUUUGCAAGACAGGUGUGAAAUCCCCGGGCCUAACCUGGGAACUGCAUUUGUGACUGCAUGGCUAGAGUUUGGCAGAGGGGAGUGGAAUUCCACGUGUAGCAGUGAAAUGCGUAGAUAUGUGGAGGAACACCGAUGGCGAAGGCAGCCCCCUGGGAUGUGACUGACGCUCAUGUACGAAAGCGUGGGGAGCAAACAGG